CGAACGGGUGAGUAACGCGUGAGGAACCUGCCUCAAAGAGGGGGACAACAGUUGGAAACGACUGCUAAUACCGCAUAAGCCCACGGCUCGGCAUCGCGCAGAGGGAAAAGGAACAAUCCGCUUUGAGAUGGCCUCGCGUCCGAUUAGCUAGUUGGUGAGGUAACGGCCCACCAAGGCGACGAUCGGUAGCCGGACUGAGAGGUUGAACGGCCACAUUGGGACUGAGACACGGCCCAG
This 237-nucleotide ribosomal RNA is filed under the name uncultured bacterium. RNAcentral describes it as "partial 16S ribosomal RNA". It matches the Rfam family "Bacterial small subunit ribosomal RNA", at positions 99 to 334 of the family's 1533-position model. The record is from RNAcentral.